RNAcentral lists this ribosomal RNA (338 nucleotides) under uncultured bacterium. Its description in RNAcentral is "bacterial SSU rRNA". It matches the Rfam family "Bacterial small subunit ribosomal RNA", at positions 29 to 349 of the family's 1533-position model. The record is from RNAcentral.
AACGAACGCUGGCGGCGUGGAUAAGACAUGCAAGUCGAGCGGGAACUUUCGCUGUAGCAAUACAGUGAAAGUUCUAGCGGCGAACGGGUGCGUAACACGUGGACAAUCUGCCUUAAAGUGGGGGAUAGCUCGGCGAAAGCCGAAUUAAUACCGCAUGUGAUGAGAGACGACAUCGUCUUGAAAUCAAAGCCGGGGCAACCUGGCGCUUUUUGAGGAGUCCGCGGCCUAUCAGCUAGUUGGUGAGGUAACGGCCCACCAAGGCUAUGACGGGGUAGCUGGUCUGAGAGGACGACCAGUCACACUGGAACUGAGACACGGUCCAGACACCUACGGGUGGC